GCUGGGCAUGGUGGCGCGUGCCUGUAAUCCCAGCUACUCAGGAGGCUGAGGCAGGAGAAUUGCCUGAACCCAGGAGGCGGAGGUUGCGGUGAGCCGAGAUCGCGCCAUUGCACUCCAGCCUGGGUAACAAGAGCGAAACUUCAUCUCAAAAAAAAAAAAAAAAAAAAAAAGAGAAGGAGUCUCGUUCUGUCACCCAGGCUGGAGUGCAGUGGCAUGAUCCUGGCUCACUGAAACCUCCACCUCCCAGGUUCAAGCAAUUCUCCUACCUCAG
RNAcentral lists this small RNA (271 nucleotides) under Callithrix jacchus (white-tufted-ear marmoset). Its description in RNAcentral is "Metazoan signal recognition particle RNA (ENSCJAG00000081804.1)". Lineage: Eukaryota; Metazoa; Chordata; Mammalia; Primates; Cebidae. The record is from RNAcentral.